GAUGAACGCUGGCGGCGUGCCUAAUACAUGCAAGUCGAGCGAACAGAUAAGGAGCUUGCUCCUUUGACGUUAGCGGCGGACGGGUGAGUAACACGUGGGUAACCUACCUAUAAGACUGGGAUAACUUCGGGAAACCGGAGCUAAUACCGGAUAACAUUUAGAACCGCAUGGUUCUAAAGUGAAAGAUGGUUUUGCUAUCACUUAUAGAUGGACCCGCGCCGUAUUAGCUAGUUGGUACGGUAACGGCUUACCAAGGCGACGAUACGUAGCCGACCUGAGAGGGUGAUCGGCCACACUGGAACUGAGACACGGUCCAGACUCCUACGGGAGGCAGCAGUAGGGAAUCUGCCGCAAUGGGCGAAAGCCUGACGGAGCAACGCCGCGUGAGUGAUGAAGGGGUUCGGCUCGUAAAACUCUGUUAUUAGGGAAGAACAAAUGUGGAAGUAACUGUGCACAUCUUGACGGUACCUAAUCAGAAAGCCACGGCUAACUACGUG
This 497-nucleotide ribosomal RNA is filed under the name uncultured bacterium. RNAcentral's name for it is "partial 16S ribosomal RNA". It matches the Rfam family "Bacterial small subunit ribosomal RNA", at positions 28 to 507 of the family's 1533-position model. The record is from RNAcentral.